CCUACGGGUGGCAGCAGUGGGGAAUAUUGCGCAAUGGGCGAAAGCCUGACGCAGCGACGCCGCGUGAGGGAUGAAGGUCUUCGGAUCGUAAACCUCUAUCAGCAGGGAAGAACGGUCACUGUGCUAAUCAGCAGUGCAUUGACGGUCCCUGCAAAGGCAGCACCGGCUAACUCCGUGCCAGCAGCCGCGGUAAUACGGAGGGUGCGAGCGUUAACCGGAAUUACUGGGCGUAAAGCGCUCGUAGGCGGUAGGUCAAGUCAGGGGUGAAAUCCCCGCGCUCAACGUGGGAACUGCCUUUGAAACUGGGAAGCUGGAGUGUGGGAGAGGAUAGUGGAAUUCCAGGUGUAGGAGUGAAAUGCGUAGAUAUCUGGAGGAACAUCAGUGGCGAAGGCGACUAUCUGGAACAUAACUGACGCUGAGGAGCGAAAGCGUGGGUAGCAAACAGGAUUAGAUACCACUGUAGUC
RNAcentral lists this ribosomal RNA (465 nucleotides) under uncultured bacterium. RNAcentral describes it as "partial 16S ribosomal RNA". It matches the Rfam family "Bacterial small subunit ribosomal RNA", at positions 338 to 795 of the family's 1533-position model. The record is from RNAcentral.